AGAGUUUGAUCCUGGCUCAGAAUCAACGCUGGCGGCGCGCCUAACACAUGCAAGUCGAACGAGAAAGUGGAGCAAUCCAUGAGUACAGUGGCGUACGGGUAAGUAACACGUGGGUAAUCUACCUCUUUGUGGGGAAUAACUCUGGGAAACCGGAGCUAAUACCGCAUAAGCUCGAGAGAGGAAAGUCGCAAGACGCUGAGAGAGGAGCCCGCGGCCGAUUAGCUAGUUGGCAGGGUAACAGCCUACCAAGGCAAAGAUCGGUAGCCGGCCUGAGAGGGCACACGGCCACACUGGCACUGAAACACGGGCCAGACUCCUACGGGAGGCAGCAGUGGGGAAUCUUGCACAAUGGGGGAAACCCUGAUGCAGCGACGCCGCGUGAGCGAUGAAGCCCUUCGGGGUGUAAAGCUCUUUCGUCAGGGAAGAUGAUGACGGUACCUGGAGAAGCAGCUGCGGCUAACUACGUGCCAGCAGCCGCGGUAAUACGUAGGCAGCGAGCGUUGUUCGGAGUUACUGGGCGUAAAGGGUGUGUAGGCGGUUGUUUAAGUUUGGUGUGAAAUCUCCCGGCUCAACUGGGAGGGUGCGCCGAAUACUGAGCGACUCGAGUGCGGGAGAGGAAAGUGGAAUUCCUGGUGUAGCGGUGAAAUGCGUAGAUAUCAGGAGGGACACCGGUGGUGUAGACGGCUUUCUGGACCGUAACUGACGCUGAGACACGAAAGCGUGGGUAGCAAACAGGAUUAGAUACCCUGGUAGUCCACGCCCUAAACGAUGCAUAUUUGGUGUGGGCAGUUCAUUCUGUCCGUGCCGGAGCUAACGCGUUAAAUAUGCCGCCUGGGGAGUACAGUCGCAAGGCUGAAACUCAAGGAAUUGACGGGGGCCCGCACAAGCGGUGGAGCAUGUGGUUCAAUUCGACGCAACGCGAAGAACCUUACCUGGGCUCGAACGGCUUCUCAACGGCUGUGGACU
This 966-nucleotide ribosomal RNA is filed under the name uncultured bacterium. RNAcentral describes it as "bacterial SSU rRNA". It matches the Rfam family "Bacterial small subunit ribosomal RNA", at positions 8 to 1006 of the family's 1533-position model. The record is from RNAcentral.